GGUCCUAAGGUAGCGAAAUUCCUUGUCGGGUAAGUUCCGACCUGCACGAAUGGCGUAACGAUGGCCACACUGUCUCCUCCUGAGACUCAGCGAAGUUGAAAUGUUUGUGAUGAUGCAAUCUACCCGCGGCUAGACGGAAAGACCCCAUGAACCUUUACUGUAGCUUUGCAUUGGACUGUGAACCGAUCUGUGUAGGAUAGGUGGGAGGCUUUGAAGCGGUGCCGCUAGGUGUCGUGGAGCCAACGUUGAAAUACCACCCUGGUGUGUUUGAGGUUCUAACCUUGGCCCGUUAUCCGGGUUGGGGACAGUGUAUGGUGGGCAGUUUGACUGGGGCGGUCUCCUCCCAAAGUGUAACGGAGGAGUUCGAAGGUACGCUAAAUACGGUCGGAAAUCGUGUUGAUAGUGCAUUGGCAUAAGCGUGCUUGACUGCGAGACUGACAAGUCGAGCAGGUACGAAAGUAGGACAAAGUGAUCCGGUGGUUCUGUAUGGAAGGGCCAUCGCUCAACGGAUAAAAGGUACUCUGGGGAUAACAGGCUGAUACCGCCCAAGAGUUCAUAUCGACGGCGGUGUUUGGCACCUCGAUGUCGGCUCAUCUCAUCCUGGGGCUGUAGCCGGUCCCAAGGGUAUGGCUGUUCGCCAUUUAAAGAGGUACGUGAGCUGGGUUUAAAACGUCGUGAGACAGUUUGGUCCCUAUCUUCCGUGGGCGCUGCAAGAUUGAGAGAGCCUGCUCCUAGUACGAGAGGACCGGAGUGGACGCACCGCUGGUGUAUCGGUUGUCAUGCCAAUGGCAUUGCCGAGUAGCUAAGUGCGGAAGAGAUAACCGCUGAAAGCAUCUAAGCGGGAAACUCGUUUCAAGAUGAGAUCUGCCGGGGCCUUGAGCCCCCUAAAGAGUCGUUCAAGACCAGGACGUUGAUAGGUCAGGUGUGGAAGCGCAGUAAUGCGUUAAGCUAACUGAUACUAAUUGCCCGUGAGGCUUGACCCU
This 983-nucleotide ribosomal RNA is filed under the name freshwater metagenome. Its description in RNAcentral is "bacterial LSU rRNA". It matches the Rfam family "Bacterial large subunit ribosomal RNA", at positions 1947 to 2925 of the family's 2925-position model. The record is from RNAcentral.